GAUAAGAUGGCAGAUAGAAUGUGGCAGAUUGUAAAUUUGUUAAUGAAGGUUCGAUUCCUUUUCUUGUUA
Molecule: transfer RNA, 69 nt
Filed under: Henricia pachyderma
Lineage: Eukaryota; Metazoa; Echinodermata; Asteroidea; Spinulosida; Echinasteridae
Description: tRNA-Tyr
Rfam family: tRNA
About the family: Transfer RNA (tRNA) molecules are approximately 80 nucleotides in length. Their secondary structure includes four short double-helical elements and three loops (D, anti-codon, and T loops). Further hydrogen bonds mediate the characteristic L-shaped molecular structure. tRNAs have two regions of fundamental functional importance: the anti-codon, which is responsible for specific mRNA codon recognition, and the 3' end, to which the tRNAs corresponding amino acid is attached (by aminoacyl-tRNA synthetases). tRNAs cope with the degeneracy of the genetic code in two manners: having more than one tRNA (with a specific anti-codon) for a particular amino acid; and 'wobble' base-pairing, i.e. permitting non-standard base-pairing at the 3rd anti-codon position.
Source: RNAcentral